RNAcentral lists this ribosomal RNA (253 nucleotides) under uncultured bacterium. RNAcentral describes it as "partial 16S ribosomal RNA". It matches the Rfam family "Bacterial small subunit ribosomal RNA", at positions 524 to 776 of the family's 1533-position model. The record is from RNAcentral.
UACGAAGGGGGCUAGCGUUGUUCGGAAUUACUGGGCGUAAAGCGCGCGCAGGCGGCCUUUCAAGUCAGUGGUGAAAGCCCGGAGCUCAACUCCGGAACUGCCAUUGAAACUGUUUGGCUUGAGUACGAGAGAGGUGAGUGGAAUUCCCAGUGUAGAGGUGAAAUUCGUAGAUAUUGGGAAGAGCACCGGUGGCGAAGGCGGCUCACUGGCUCGUUACUGACGCUCAGGCGCGACAGCGUGGGGAUCAAACAGG